Molecule: ribosomal RNA, 497 nt
Filed under: uncultured bacterium
Lineage: Bacteria
Description: partial 16S ribosomal RNA
Rfam family: Bacterial small subunit ribosomal RNA
Source: RNAcentral
GAUGAACGCUGGCGGCGUGCCUAAUACAUGCAAGUCGAGCGAACAGACGAGGAGCUUGCUCCUCUGACGUUAGCGGCGGACGGGUGAGUAACACGUGGAUAACCUACCUAUAAGACUGGGAUAACUUCGGGAAACCGGAGCUAAUACCGGAUAAUAUAUUGAACCGCAUGGUUCAAUAGUGAAAGACGGUUCUGCUGUCACUUAUAGAUGGAUCCGCGCCGCAUUAGCUAGUUGGUAAGGUAACGGCUUACCAAGGCAACGAUGCGUAGCCGACCUGAGAGGGUGAUCGGCCACACUGGAACUGAGACACGGUCCAGACUCCUACGGGAGGCAGCAGUAGGGAAUCUUCCGCAAUGGGCGAAAGCUUGACGGAGCAACGCCGCGUGAGUGAUGAAGGUCUUCGGAUCGUAAAACUCUGUUAUUAGGGAAGAACAAAUGUGUAAGUAACUAUGCACGUCUUGACGGUACCUAAUCAGAAAGCCACGGCUGACUACGUG